UGUGUCUAGGGAGGCAAUUCUUCAUGAUAACGUUACCUAACCUCCUACCCUAGGCUCUGGCCCGGGUUUCACUUAACUGGUUAAGCGUUGCUUGUUUGCUCCUAAGCGGCCGGCGGCUGGCAACCACUGGAGAAUUUCAGGGGGCCAGAAAAAAACCAUCUUGGCCCUCUUUCCGCGAAACCCUAGAGCGGCAGCAUGCGUGGCGUUGUGCAAAGUGGAGCGACAAAAAAUUUUGAGUUAGGGGAUGGUGGUAAAUUUUCGGCUUUAUGGUGAGUAUAGGAACUGGAGAUCUGACCAUCGGUGUUGGACAGUGCAUUUACCACUGCUGGAAUGAAUUUAUACAGAAUAUAAACUGGAACUCUUGAGGAUUUGGGAUGAUUCGGGAGGAUUUGGGGAAAACGACUCUGAUCAACUUGAGUAACUGACAAAUGCACGCCACUACUUGAUGAAUCCCUCAACCUUGGGCCCAGUUUUGAAAGAGAAAGAAUUCACAACUGUUCAGAAUCAUGAUAUUCAUUCCUCACCCCACCCAUCCCUCACUUUAUCGCCCAAUACUUGUCCCAGGUCGGCUUUAUUGCCCCUUCUCUCCUACAGUUAAUAGUAACCUAAGUACAGUAAAGAUGAUCAUGGUCUUUCAUGUUAUGGUAUGUUUGUAGGAAGUCCCUCCCCAUGAAUGUAUGUACUAUACGUAUGUAGCAUUAAACAAAGAAGCGGAUGAAAAAAAAAGAUAAAAAAUAAAAAGCGAGCGGAUCCAGACCCAAACCGAACAACUCACAUAUAUUAAAAAGAAGAAGAAAAAGAGGACGAAGAGGAAGAGGAAAUAUAUAAACACUAUCCCCGCUGCACAUACUCCCUCGCCUCCUGCGGCGUAAGUCGCUUCCCCGUCUUAUCAUAGAACCGCGAACUAAUCCGCAGCCAUUUCUCCUCAUCAUACUGCGCCGCCAGCCUAUUGAGGAGCAAUAUCUCCUCGAGGCUGAAAUUCUCGUCAACAUAGAGGAUUUUCUUCUUGUGGGGAGUUCGUGUGUAGGUGGACGUGUAGUUGUCGGCAACCUAUCAAUCAAAUGUCAAUGAAGAAAGGAGAAGUUGCUUUGGUUUCAAAUAUAG
Molecule: small RNA, 1104 nt
Filed under: Histoplasma capsulatum var. duboisii H88
Lineage: Eukaryota; Fungi; Ascomycota; Eurotiomycetes; Onygenales; Ajellomycetaceae
Description: Histoplasma capsulatum H88 hypothetical RNA
Source: RNAcentral